AGACCCGAAACCCGGUGAUCUAGCCAUGGGCAGGUUGAAGGUUGGGUAACACUAACUGGAGGACCGAACCGACUAAUGUUGAAAAAUUAGCGGAUGACCUGUGGCUGGGGGUGAAAGGCCAAUCAAACCGGGAGAUAGCUGGUUCUCCCCGAAAGCUAUUUAGGUAGCGCCUCGUGAAUUCAUCUCCGGGGGUAGAGCACUGUUUCGGCUAGGGGGCCAUCCCGGCUUACCAACCCGAUGCAAACUGCGAAUACCGGAGAAUGUUAUCACGGGAGACACACGGCGGGUGCUAACGUCCGUCGUGAAGAGGGAAACAACCCAGACCGCCAGCUAAGGUCCCAAAGUCAUGGUUAAGUGGGAAACGAUGUGGGAAGGCCCAGACAGCCAGGAUGUUGGCUUAGAAGCAGCCAUCAUUUAAAGAAAGCGUAAUAGCUCACUGGUCGAGUCGGCCUGCGCGGAAGAUGUAACGGGGCUAAACCAUGCACCGAAGCUGCGGCAGCGAACGUAUCACCCAAGACAACUUUACGGAGUUGACGAUUGACGGAGCGAAGCGACGUCAAAGCGUUCAUUAAAGUCGAGUUGGCUUAGGGAUACGUUCGUUGGGUAGGGGAGCGUUCUGUAAGCCUGUGAAGGUGUGUCGUGAGGCAUGCUGGAGGUAUCAGAAGUGCGAAUGCUGACAUAAGUAACGAUAAAGCGGGUGAAAAGCCCGCUCGCCGGAAGACCAAGGGUUCCUGUCCAACGUUAAUCGGGGCAGGGUGAGUCGACCCCUAAGGCGAGGCCGAAAGGCGUAGUCGAUGGGAAACGGGUUAAUAUUCCCGUACUUGGUGUUACUGCGAAGGGGGGACGGAGAAGGCUAUGUUGGCCGGGCGACGGUUGUCCCGGUUUAAGGGUGUAGGUGUGUGUUCCAGGUAAAUCCGGUUCACUUUAACACUGAGGCGUGACGACGAGGCACUACGGUGCUGAAGCAACAAAUGCCCUGCUUCCAGGAAAAGCCUCUAAGCAUCAGGUAACACGAAAUCGUACCCCAAACCGACACAGGUGGUCAGGUAGAGAAUACCAAGGCGCUUGAGAGAACUCGGGUGAAGGAACUAGGCAAAAUGGUGCCGUAACUUCGGGAGAAGGCACGCUGACACGUAGGUGAAGUGAUUUACUCAUGGAGCUGAAGUCAGUCGAAGAUACCAGCUGGCUGCAACUGUUUAUUAAAAACACAGCACUGUGCAAACACGAGAGUGGACGUAUACGGUGUGACGCCUGCCCGGUGCCGGAAGGUUAAUUGAUGGGGUCAGCGCAAGCGAAGCUCCUGAUCGAAGCCCCGGUAAACGGCGGCCGUAACUAUAACGGUCCUAAGGUAGCGAAAUUCCUUGUCGGGUAAGUUCCGACCUGCACGAAUGGCGUAAUGAUGGCCAGGCUGUCUCCACCCGAGACUCAGUGAAAUUGAACUCGCUGUGAAGAUGCAGUGUACCCGCGGCAAGACGGAAAGACCCCGUGAACCUUUACUAUAGCUUGACACUGAACAUUGAGCCUUGAUGUGUAGGAUAGGUGGGAGGCUUUGAAGUGUGGACGCCAGUCUGCAUGGAGCCGACCUUGAAAUACCACCCUUUAAUGUUU
This 1608-nucleotide ribosomal RNA is filed under the name Salmonella enterica subsp. enterica serovar Typhimurium. RNAcentral describes it as "partial 23S ribosomal RNA". It matches the Rfam family "Bacterial large subunit ribosomal RNA", at positions 711 to 2215 of the family's 2925-position model. The record is from RNAcentral. Lineage: Bacteria; Pseudomonadati; Pseudomonadota; Gammaproteobacteria; Enterobacterales; Enterobacteriaceae.